Molecule: long non-coding RNA, 1099 nt
Filed under: Homo sapiens (human)
Lineage: Eukaryota; Metazoa; Chordata; Mammalia; Primates; Hominidae
Description: HSALNT0368811
Source: RNAcentral
GAGCUCAUUGAUCAUCAUAACAGAGUCUAUUGAAAGUCCUCAGCAGGCGGUGUGACGAUGUGACCAGCUCUGGCCAAGGAGCUGUAGGCAGAAGUGUCUUGCAGCAGCUCCUGUAAAUCUUAAAAGACAGCUGGUGCGUGUCUUUUUUCCUUUUUUUUUCCCUUCCCCCUUCCUGCUGCGCUGAAUAUGGAUAUGGUGAGUGAAUCUAGAGCAGCCAUUUGGAGGUAUGAAGAGAUCUUGGAAAUAGAGGCCAUGUGUGUUGAAACAAGACCGAACAACUCCAAGUUCCUGAAGACUUCAUUUCACCAACCCAGAACCUCCUUGAUCAUCACAGUGUUCAAAUGGUUUCCAGCAACAUUCCUACCACCUACUUUGCUGACACAAAGGUGCAUAAACAGAAGUCCUAUGUGGUCGAACCAUUUUACAUUUUCACCAGCAAUGAAGGAGGGUUCCUGUUGCUCUACCAUUUGGUACUGUCAGCGUUUUGGAUAUUAGCCGUCCUAAUAGCCUUUGCAUGGAUGAUUGUCUGUCCUCUGUUGGGCCCCUUCUGAAGAGUUGGAGUUGGCUUUAUACAAUUAUUCCCAAAUCUUCUAAACUGACAGUGAGGGAGAGUAAUUUGAAAGGACUGCUCAACUCAACGUCAUUUGAAGAUUUGCACCACAGCUGCAUUUUUCCAAUUUCCUGGCAUCUAUUCUGCUCUCCUGGACUUUUCAAAAACAAUUUCUUUCAGAUCCCUGGAGGCCUCUCCCAGGGCCUGUGGUGUGGAGAGUUGGACUUGACCCUACUGUAAGAGACCCAACUUCCAAAGACUGCAUCAGAUGAAAGGCUCUCCAUAUAGACUACAGACUUGUCAGCUGGUUAAGGAGGCAAACAGAACAGUCUGCUACAAACUCCAGUCCAUGUAUCUGUGCUGAAAAUAAAAGGAGUCUUCAGGAAUCAAAGAAGAAAAUAUUUUUAUAAAGAAAUUUUAUUGCAUAAUUCUUGUAUACAAUAAACAUAGGAAAAGGGUUUUUAAUGAAAAUUCAUGUCAUUUUUCAAAAGUGUUGAACUGUCUGGAGAAAAAUUAUUACAAAGCUAUCUAAGGCAAAAAUAAUAUUUA